RNAcentral lists this ribosomal RNA (295 nucleotides) under uncultured bacterium. Its description in RNAcentral is "partial 16S ribosomal RNA". The record is from RNAcentral.
GGACUACUAGGGUUUCUAAUCCGUUUUGCUCCCCACGCUUUCGUGCCUCAAUGUCAGUAACAGAAUAGUUAAUUGCCUUCGCCAUUAUUGGUGUUCUCCCAUAUAUCUAUGCAUUUUACCGCUCCACAUGGAAUUCCAUUAACCUCUCCUGUACUCGAGCCGGACAGUAUUGCCAGUUUCCACGAGGUUGAGCCUCGAUUUGCCACUGCCAACUUGCCAGGCCAUCUACGCACCCUUUACGCCCAAUAAUUCCGGAUAACGUUCGCCACCUACGUCUUACCGCGGCUGCUGGCAC